Non-coding RNA from Sardina pilchardus (European sardine), 526 nucleotides. The record is from the annotation of a RefSeq genome assembly. Lineage: Eukaryota; Metazoa; Chordata; Actinopteri; Clupeiformes; Clupeidae.
CAGUAAUGUCCAGGCUGAGGAUGCAGGAGUUUACUACUGUCAGAGUGCACACUAUAUCAGUAGUAAGUGGGUGUUCACGUUUGGAGGCGGCACUAGACUUGACGUUGGAAGUGACACCCGUCCCAAAGUCACAGUCCUGCCCCCCCUGCACACCAGCGGGACUUCAGCCACGGUGAUGUGCCUGGCUAACGGAGGCUUCCCGUCCAACUGGGCGCUGAGCUGGAAGGUAGAUGGGAGCAGCAGGAGCGGGGAGACCAGUGUGUUUGGCCCACAGAAGGACGGCCUGUACAGCUGGAGCAGCACCCUGACCCUCCCUCUCCAGGAAUGGAACCAGGGCCACGCAGUGACCUGCGAGGCAAAGCACGGCUCCCAGACCGUCACUGAGAUCCUGAAGAAAUCAGACUGCUCCUAGAGUCUCCUCUCCAAUGGCUGCCAUCAGCCUGAUUUAAAGUGUGUCUGAUAGGAACUCUUCAUCUCUGAUAGGAACUCUUCAUCUCUGAUAGGAACUCUGAUAGGAACUCUUCAU